CUCCGACUAUCAAAAUUUUAACCAUUUUAGUCCUCCGGUGACUUGGAUGACAUAUUUUGAGGGAUAUUAUUGGAAGUUCACUAGCACCGUCGGGCUUUUUC
Ipomoea nil (Japanese morning glory) is the source of this 101-nucleotide long non-coding RNA. RefSeq lists it as uncharacterized. The transcript is spliced from 3 exons. Lineage: Eukaryota; Viridiplantae; Streptophyta; Magnoliopsida; Solanales; Convolvulaceae. The record is from RefSeq and is a predicted model, not a curated record.